RNAcentral lists this ribosomal RNA (253 nucleotides) under uncultured bacterium. Its description in RNAcentral is "partial 16S ribosomal RNA". It matches the Rfam family "Bacterial small subunit ribosomal RNA", at positions 524 to 776 of the family's 1533-position model. The record is from RNAcentral.
UACGUAGGGUCCGAGCGUUGUCCGGAAUUACUGGGCGUAAAGAGCUCGUAGGUGGUUUGUCGCGUUGUCCGUGAAAACUCACAGCUCAACUGUGGGCGUGCGGGCGAUACGGGCAGACUAGAGUUCGGUAGGGGAGACUGGAAUUCCUGGUGUAGCGGUGAAAUGCGCAGAUAUCAGGAGGAACACCGAUGGCGAAGGCAGGUCUCUGGGCUGACACUGACGCUCAUGCACGAAAGCGUGGGGAGCAAACAGG